Molecule: ribosomal RNA, 498 nt
Filed under: uncultured bacterium
Lineage: Bacteria
Description: bacterial SSU rRNA
Rfam family: Bacterial small subunit ribosomal RNA
Source: RNAcentral
ACUCAAAUGAAUUGACGGGGACCCGCACAAGCAGUGGAGUAUGUGGUUUAAUUCGAAGCAACGCGAAGAACCUUACCAGGUCUUGACAUCCCUCUGACCGGUGCAGAGAUGUGCCUUUCCUUCGGGACAGAGGAGACAGGUGGUGCAUGGUUGUCGUCAGCUCGUGUCGUGAGAUGUUGGGUUAAGUCCCGCAACGAGCGCAACCCUUAGCUUUAGUUGCCAGCAUGAGAGAUGGGCACUCUAGAGCGACUGCCGGUGACAAACCGGAGGAAGGUGGGGAUGACGUCAAAUCAUCAUGCCCCUUAUGACCUGGGCUACACACGUACUACAAUGGCCGGUACAGAGGGAAGCGAAGGAGCGAUCUGGAGCGAAUCCCAAAAAAGCGGUCUCAGUUCGGAUUGCAGGCUGCAACUCGCCUGCAUGAAGUCGGAAUUGCUAGUAAUCGCGGAUCAGCAUGCCGCGGUGAAUACGUUCCCGGGUCUUGCACACACCGCCCGU